AUAGAGAGCUUGCUCUCUGAUGGCGAGUGGCGAACGGGUGAGUAACAUAUCGGAACGUGCCGUAGUAAUGGGGAAUAAACGUAAUCGAAAAGACUUAGCUAAUACCCGCAUACGACCUACGGGUGAAAGCAGGGGAUCUUCGGACCUUGCGUUAUUAGAGCGGCCGAUAUCUGAUUAGGUAGUUGGUAGGGUAAAGGCCUACCAAGCCGACGAUCAGUAGCUGGUCUGAGAGGACGAUCAGCCACACUGGAACUGAGACACGGUCCAGACUCC
RNAcentral lists this ribosomal RNA (273 nucleotides) under unidentified marine bacterioplankton. RNAcentral's name for it is "partial 16S ribosomal RNA". It matches the Rfam family "Bacterial small subunit ribosomal RNA", at positions 71 to 339 of the family's 1533-position model. The record is from RNAcentral.